CACAUUCCUGAGUGCCUACUAUGUGCAAGCGCAGUGUUAAAGGCAAAGAGGUAGAGAGUACCAGGGCUCUGGGCCGACCUCUGUGUGCUGCCAGUCUAAUGGGUGAGAGUGUUGGGGGCGGGCGUGGGGGAGGAAAGACAGUUAUCAAAUAAUCACUGUAUACCGAUAAGUUUAAGCAAAUCAGUACAUAAUUAUACACCAGGGGAAGUGAUGUGAGGAAAAGAAGAGUGUUGUGAAAGUGAAUAGGGUCCUAAUGUAGGGUGGGGGGAUGAAGACAGAGCCUCCUUGGGAAGAUGGCAUUUAAGCCAAGAGACAAGAAUGAUCAGGAGUUGUGCCGGCCAAGAGAGAAAGGGAAAUUUUUCUAGACAGAAGGAACAACUUGUCCCAGACACGAAGGUGGGAAGGAAGGAACACAGGGAGUGUAAGGAGUAAAGCAGGUAGUGCCACACAAUGGAUUUGCAUUUUAUCUUGUGAGGAACAAAAAGCCAUUUUCAUCAAUGGAAUGAUAUCAAAUCUGGGUUUCCAAACGGCCACCUCGGCUGCAUGGCACAGAAGACAAGGGGAGUGGGUGUGGGGAGUCCCUUGUAGCUUUCCAGACACAGUAAUGGUGACCAGACAGUGGGGUUGGCCUGGGGAGCCAGAGAGGGAAAGAAUGUAAGAUCAGUUCUUGGGGGCCUGGGGAAGCCGUGGUAACACCUAGGCUUUGGUCUUGAGUACAUGAAGGGAUGAAAGAGUCCUUGGCUAGAGACAGACUGAGGGGGGAGAUCAGAAGUUUGGCUUUGAGGACGUGAAUUUGAAGUGCCUGAGCAACCCUUAGGUGGAUAAGGAAACAGGCAGUUUUCUUUGAGGCUGGAGCUCAGGAGGGUGGCUGAAGAUCCUCAGCACACCCUUCAUGGUGCUGGUGAGACCCCAAGGGAGGGAAGGUAGAUAGAAAAGUGGGCAGAGGAGGAGCAGCCAGGAAAGGAGACUGAGAAGCAGAAGAACCAGGUAAUAAUGGGUCCCAGAAAGAAAGGUUUAAGAAGGAAGGAGCGUUCAGUGGGGUUGAGAAGUGUGGAAGACAGGAAUACACCAUUGGGUUCUGGGAUGAAGAGCAUUUUGUUUGUGGACUGUAUCCUUUAGGUUCUUUACCCUAAAUUAAUUGACUUAAAAAAUAAGUAGUCUGCCAUUCAUUGGCUGAUGAUUGGAGUGACUUGGCAUUGUCAUCAAGGACUUAGGUUCAUUCCAUCUCUGUGGUCCUUUUGCUGAUUUUUUGUUCAUGGUCACACAAUGAUCACCCUAGUACCUGGGGUCACAUCUAAGUCAAGGAGAUGUCCAUUCCUCCUUGAGGGGAGAUUCAAACAGGCCUGGUAAGGGUUCAGUGUGUCCAUGCCAGGCACACCCAGUAUCCAAUACUGGAAGGUAAGAGAAGACUUGUAGUGGAAGUUCUUGUUUAGAAUAAGAGGGGAGCCGGGCACGGGGUGCAUGCAUGUAAUCCCAGUGGCUCUGGAGGCUGAGGCAGGAAGAUUGCAAUUUCAAAGCCAGCCUCAGAAAAGCAAGGUGCUAAGCAACUCAGUGAGACCCUGUCUGUAAAUAAAAUACAAAAUAGGGCUGGGGAUGUGGCUCAGUGGUUGAGUGCCCCCGAGUUCAAUCCCUGGUACCCCCUCCCCCACAAAAAAGAAGAGGGGAAGCUAAGCACUGGCAAGGAUCUGGAGCAAUUUGCAGUUCAUCAGCACGUUGCUGGUGGCAGAGAAAGUUGGUCCAACUCCCGCACAAAACUGUCAGUCUACUAAAUCUGCACAUGCAUGUAUGCUAUGACCUAGAAUUGGCACUUCUAGGUAUUUACCCUAGAGAAAUGAGUCUCUUAAGUCUAUACAAAGACUUGUGCAAGAACGUUCACAGAACAUAAAUUCAUGCCAGGUAUUGCCACACACACUGUAAUCCCAGCAACUUGGGAGGCUGAGGAAAGGAUCGCAAAUUUGAAGCCAGCCUUGGCAAUUUAGCAAGAAUCUGUCUCAAGAUAAAAAAUAAAAAAGGACUGGGGAUGUGGCUCAGUGGUUAAGCACCCCUGGGUUCGUUCAUUCCCUGGCACCAAAGGGGGAAAAAAAAAAAGUCAUAGCUCCACCGGUCUGGAAAUACCCCACUGUUUAUCAGCAGGAGAACAGAUCAACAAAUGGUGUCUUGUUUUUUGAAUGGAAUAUAGUUGGCCUUCAGUCCACAGGUUCUGCUUCUGAAGUUUCAGCUAACAUCUGGUUAAAAAUAUUUGGGGAAAAACUGCAUCAAAAUUCUAUCUGAAUAGACUGUUACCAUCAGUCUAGAAAGUUCCCUCAUACCUCACUCACCCUGGCAAACAAUGCUCUGAUUUUUUUUCUACCAUAGAAUAGUUUUCCAUAUAAAUGGGAUCACGCAGUACAUAUAAAACCUUUACUAUACAGACUUUUUUUUUUUUUUUUGAUACUGGGGAUUGAACCAGUGCUUUUAACACUGAGCUAUAUCUCCAGCACAUUUUUUAUUUUGAGACAGGGUCUCAUUGAGUUGCUCAGGCCCUUUCGCAGUUGCUGAGGCUGGCCUUGAAUUGGCAAUUCUCCUGCCUCAGCCUCCUGAGUUGCUGGGAUUACAGGUGUGGCUACUACUACCAUUUUGAUGUUCAUCCAUUUUGUUAUGUGUAUCAAAACUUUGCUCCUUUUUCAAGCUGGUUAGUAUUCCAUGAAUAACUGUUUGAUAGAUAUUCAUUGGUUCCCCUCUCCCCAGUUUGUGUGUGUUAUUAAAAAAAGCUGUUAUGAAUAUUCUUGCAUUAAAAAAUUCCAUCUGAACUGAACAUGUACAGAAUUUCU
Molecule: long non-coding RNA, 2810 nt
Filed under: Marmota monax (woodchuck)
Lineage: Eukaryota; Metazoa; Chordata; Mammalia; Rodentia; Sciuridae
Source: RNAcentral